RNAcentral lists this long non-coding RNA (1837 nucleotides) under Anolis carolinensis (green anole). RNAcentral describes it as "lncRNA (ENSACAG00000040997.1)". Lineage: Eukaryota; Metazoa; Chordata; Lepidosauria; Squamata; Anolidae. The record is from RNAcentral.
GAAGGGCGACUAAAAUGAUCAAGGGUCUGAAGAACAUGCCCUAUGAGGAGCGGCUGAAAGAGCUGGGCAUGUUUAGCCUGCAGAAGAGAAGACUGAGAGGAGUCAUGAUGUACAAAUAUGUGAGAGGAAGUCAUAGGGAGGAGGGAGGGAGCUUGUUUUCUGCUGCCCUGGAGACUAGGACGCAAGGGAACAAGGGCUUCAAACUACAGGAAAAGAGAUUCUACCUAAACAUAGUUGCAAAUUUCUGAAGAUUUAGAAGAUCCAGAACAGACCUAGCAGCAGCUAGGAUUAUAUUGUCUCUACUAAGCCUUUAAUAACUUGUAUCCAUUUAAUGAUUUCUGUAUAACUUGUAUCUUUCUUACUGUGUACUGUACCAAUUUCUUAUAUGAAGUGUAUGAAAUGUUUUUAGAUAAGUAUCAAAAUGUAACCUAAAGACAGACACUUCUUUGUCACUCUGUUUAGAAACUUCCUGAGAACUAAAGCAAAGUGACUCCUUUAGCUAUUUCCCAAGCCAGGCAACUACCAAGAUCAUUGUGUGUAUACAAAGAUAGAUGGUCCUCUUUAUCAGCCAGAUAUAUUCAGGAUGUUUGCUCACUUCACCUGAGGCUGAGAGUCUGAUGAAGUGGGAGUGAUCUUUGAUCGUGUCUGGCACAAUGAGGUUGGACUGGAUGACCUUUGGGCAUCUCUUCCAGCUCUAUGAUUUUACAGGGACUUCCAAAUGAAUAAAUUCCUCACAGCAAGAGCUUUAUGACAAUGGAGCAGAACUUCUCAGAAAGUGCUAGGUUGUUCUUCUCUGGUAGUCUUUCCAAAGAGGCUGGAUGGCCAUCUAUAUAUAAAAGGGUAAUGAAAUUUCGGCCUAGGACAAAACAACAAAACUACACAUCCCAGAAACACUCAACUUGGCAGCACAACCCCUCAUCCAUGCCUCUACGUUCAUACAACAAAAAGAAAAGAAAAAUAAAGUCCUAAUUAGAGGGAGAGGAAUAAUUGUUUUUAUCCAAUUGCUGCCAGUUAGAAGGCUAAACUCUGCCCACUUGGUCUCCUAGCAACCUACUCAGCCCAGGGGACAGGCAGAGUUAGGCCUCACUUAGGCCUCUUCCACACUGCCUAUAAAAUACAGAUUAUCUGAUUUUAACUGGAUUAUGUGGCAAUGUAGACUCAAGGCCCUUCCACACAGCUAUAUAACCCAUUUAUAAUCUUAUAUUAUCUGCUUUGAAUUGAAUUAUCUUGACUCCACACUACCAUAUAAUCCACUUCAGUAUGCAUUUUAUACAGCUGUGUAGAAGGGGCCUCAUACUUCGCCACAGCAAUGCGUGGCCGGGCACAGCUAGUCUUUCUAUAAUAUUUUAACUGUGGAAUCUUACACUGGCAGGAGGUUGGACUAGAUGACCUUUGGAUCCAUUUCAGCUCAAUUAUUUCAUGCUACAGCAUGCCUAAAUAAUUUGGCAAUGUGGAAAAUCCAAAGGCUGGUUCCUUUUCUGGAAACAGAGGUGAUAGAAAAUGCCCACAAGAUGUCAGUAUAACUUUGCAGACAAAUUGUCAUGAAGGAGAAACAGGGCAGAAAAACAGAACCCAGAAACCUCUCUGAUGACGUACAGCUGGAGCAUCCCUAAUGCAUAAUUCCAAAAUCCUGCAAAAUCCAAAACUGUACAGCUGAAUGUCUGAAAUCGUGACAUCUUUCCUUUCUUAUAGUUCAAUAUACACAAACUUAGUUUCAUGCACACAAUGAUUAAAGAUAACAAUUCCUUCAGGCUUUGUGUAUGAUAAGCCAUAUAUGAAACACAAAUGAGUUUUGUGUUUAGACUUGGGAUCCCACCUCUAAGAGUCCUCACAAGGU